RNAcentral lists this ribosomal RNA (254 nucleotides) under uncultured bacterium. RNAcentral describes it as "partial 16S ribosomal RNA". It matches the Rfam family "Bacterial small subunit ribosomal RNA", at positions 524 to 776 of the family's 1533-position model. The record is from RNAcentral.
UACGAAGGGGGCUAGCGUUGUUCGGAAUUACUGGGCGUAAAGCGCACGCAGGCGGAUUGAUAAGUCAGGGGUGAAAUCCCGGGGCUCAACCUCGGAAUUGCCUUUGAUACUGUCUGUCUUCGAGUUCGGGAGAGGUUGGCGGAAUUCCUAGUGUAGAGGUGAAAUUCGUAGAUAUUAGGAAGAACACCAGUGGCGAAGGCGGCCAACUGGCCCGAAACUGACGCUCAUGUGCGAAAGCGUGGGGAGCAAACAGG